AAGAACAAAGGAAGAAAAGAAGAACACAAACCCUAGGUGGAAAAAUUCAAGGGAAAAGUGUGAAAAUUCAAGUAAUCAAGCAAUCAAAGGUAAAAUUUCUUGAUUUUGACUUGUGAUCUACCUUUCCCAUGCAUUAGUUUGCAUUUUCCAUGGUUGAAUCACAAGAUAUCAUGAAGGGUUCAUGGCUGACCGAAUUUAGAGAGAGAAGAUUUGAUGAUUGAUUUGGUUAGAUUUUAAGAUAUUUUAGUGUUUUUAGUUAGUUAGUGAUGUGUAGCAUGAAAAUCAAGCAAGAAAAAUUCAUUUUAUCCCAUCACCCAUCAUUGGUCGAAUUUUCCAUGUAGAGUGUAGAUGAUGAUUUUGAUUUUAUUUCAAGUGAAUAGGUAAGGAAAUGAUGAUUUAUGGUGUGAGAAUCAAGUAGGAAAAAUCAUAGUAUUUAUGCACCCACCAUGGCCGAAUUUUCCAAGAGAAAAUGUGAAAAUGAUUUUGCUAGAUUUUAUGCUAUUUGAUUUGUGUUUGAUGAUUUGGAGUAUUGGGAGAAAGAUGGAAUUAUUUAGAGUUAAAUUAGACAUAUUGGCCAAUUAAUCGAGAGAUAGAUCGAAUUAGGCCAAUACCGUUUUAUAUAGGUACACAAUUGAAUUUGUGUAGAACACCGUAUUUGGAUAGUUACCCGAACAAUUUGCAUUCCAUUUCAUGCAUUAGUAAAGAGCCUGAAAUAGAAUUAUAAUGGUAUGACACAGUAUAUUGAAUUAUCUGUCGUGUAUGUCUAGGUGGUGAGCAUUCUGGCAAAAGUAAGAAGAUAGUACCCGAGGAUCAAGAAUCGGAGUACUCGAAAUUCGACUCUCGAAAUAGUGAGUAACCUUACUAUCGUCUUAAUUAUCUAAGGUGGUUUUUAUCCGAUUUUGUGAUUUUAUGAAAAAUGAGUUUAAAUGGCAAAUCUUUAUGUUUAUAAGCAAAAUGUGAUUAAAUGAGAUGAUUUCAUAAAAUUGUCUUGAAAUUGAACGAUGGCUUUUCAAAUAGAGUAAUUGGAGACUAUUUUUGUGUGUUGUAAAUUCAUGAUUUUAAUUUAUUGGCUUAUGACAAUAUUGGCAUGAAUGGCUGAAUUGGUAUUUGUGUUGAAAUUAUAAAUUGUUGUUUGCCUUGAUAGGCUGGAUAAUGAUAAAAUUGCCAUGUCAUGCUGUUAAAUUUUUAUUGUAUGGUGGGUUUAGCUUACUGUAGUGGGCCGGUUCUAUGGACCAGCCUAUUAGGAGGGCACGAAACCUGGUCAUAUAUAUGUACCUCGAUUGGAGAGGCGCGUAGGGUAACUCCCGAUGUCAAAUUUUAGAGUUCACUUCACGCCAAACCACCACGUGAGGGGAACUCGACCAAUGCCAAGGAACGGCUAUGUUUUCAAAAUAAAAAUAUGAUUUAUGCGUACAUAACUUUUUACCAGCCUUGGCGGACUCGAUUGGGAUAGCCCUCGAUCAAGGCAUCCUUGAUAACUGGGUAUGAGAAUGAUUUUGGCACGAGCCAAAGUUGUAAGAAAUUCAGAAGCCAUGUUGAUUGCUCGAUUUAUAUGAAUUGAUUUUAUUUGGUUGAAACAAGUUGAUAAGUGAUGAAUUACAGUAUGUUAAACUAUUUUAUCUGUCUCUAUUUACUCAGCUUUACAUAUUUUAGAUGGUAUUUGUUUACUCACUGGGAUUAUAUAAUCUCACCACCCUCAUUUCCACCCCUUUCAGGCUCAGGAUAGUCGGUAGAUAGCUCACUUUGUUGAGGGCUACAGUUGGACUUGCAUCCUCAAAAACUGUAGGUUUAUUGCUUUUAAUACUUUUGGUCGUUCGUGGGCCCACUUGUUAUUGUAAAUUAAAUUAAAU
This 1850-nucleotide long non-coding RNA is filed under the name Theobroma cacao (cacao). Its description in RNAcentral is "long non-coding RNA (TCAC_LNC006243)". The record is from RNAcentral. Lineage: Eukaryota; Viridiplantae; Streptophyta; Magnoliopsida; Malvales; Malvaceae.